CCUACGGGUGGCAGCAGUGGGGAAUAUUGCACAAUGGGCGAAACCCUGAUGCAGCCACGCCGCGUGAGUGAGGAAGUAUUUCGGUAUGUAAAGCUCUAUCAGCAGGGAAUAGAAAAGAAGGUACCUGAAAAAGAAGCCUCGGCUAACUACGUGCCAGCAGCCGCGGUAAUACGCAGGGUGCAAGCGUUAUCCGGAUUUACUGGGUGUAAAGGGAGCGUAGACGGGAAGGCAAGUCAGAAGUGAAAGCCCAAGGCUCAACCCUGGGACUGCUUUUGAAACUGGCAAACUAGAGUACAGGAGAGGUAGGAGGAAUUCCUGGUGUAGCGGUGAAAUGCGUAGAUAUUAGGAGGAACACCGGUGGCGAAGGCGUCUUACUGGACCGAGACUGACGUUGAGGCUCGAAAGCGUGGGGAGCAAACAGGAUUAGAUACCCGUGUAGUC
This 441-nucleotide ribosomal RNA is filed under the name uncultured bacterium. RNAcentral's name for it is "partial 16S ribosomal RNA". It matches the Rfam family "Bacterial small subunit ribosomal RNA", at positions 338 to 795 of the family's 1533-position model. The record is from RNAcentral.